Molecule: transfer RNA, 75 nt
Filed under: Rhodospirillaceae bacterium
Lineage: Bacteria; Pseudomonadati; Pseudomonadota; Alphaproteobacteria; Rhodospirillales; Rhodospirillaceae
Also listed under: 2 other names
Description: tRNA-Thr
Rfam family: tRNA
About the family: Transfer RNA (tRNA) molecules are approximately 80 nucleotides in length. Their secondary structure includes four short double-helical elements and three loops (D, anti-codon, and T loops).
Source: RNAcentral
GCCGGUUUAGCUCAGGGGUAGAGCAACCGCCUUGUAAGCGGUAGGUCGUGUGUUCAAUUCACACAACCGGCACCA